RNAcentral lists this ribosomal RNA (560 nucleotides) under uncultured bacterium. Its description in RNAcentral is "bacterial SSU rRNA". It matches the Rfam family "Bacterial small subunit ribosomal RNA", at positions 359 to 917 of the family's 1533-position model. The record is from RNAcentral.
GNNAUUGGNCAAUGGGCGCAGCCUGNUCCAGCCAUGCCGCGUGCAGGAUGACGGUCCUAUGGAUUGUAAACUGCUUUUAUACGAGAAGAAACACUGCGUUCGUGAAGCAGCUUGACGGUAUCGUAAGAAUACACGGAUCGGCGUAACUCCGUGCCAGCAGCCGCGGUAAUACNGGAGGAUCCAAGCGUUAUCCGGAAUCAUUGGGUUUAAAGGGUCCGUAGGCGGUUUAAUAAGUCAGUGGUGAAAGCCCAUCGCUCAACGGUGGAACGGCCAUUGAUACUGUUAAACUUGAAUUAUUAGGAAGUAACUAGAAUAUGUAGUGUAGCGGUGAAAUGCNUUAGAGAUUACAUGGAAUACCAAUUGCGAAGGCAGGUUACUACUAAUGGAUUGACGCUGAUGGACGAAAGCGUGGGUAGCGAACAGGAUUAGAUACCCUGGUAGUCCACGCCGUAAACGAUGGAUACUAGCUGUUGGAAGCAAUUUCAGUGGCUAAGCGAAAGUGAUAAGUAUCCCACCUGGGGAGUACGUUCGCAAGGCUGAAACUCAGAAGAAUUGACGGA